RNAcentral lists this long non-coding RNA (507 nucleotides) under Meriones unguiculatus (Mongolian gerbil). RNAcentral describes it as "lncRNA (ENSMUGG00000006853.1)". The record is from RNAcentral. Lineage: Eukaryota; Metazoa; Chordata; Mammalia; Rodentia; Muridae.
AGAACACUGAGUUCCCAGACUGUCCCCUGUCAACCCACAGCACAGAAAGUGACACUUAAGGACAGAGUUGGCAUCUGUGUCUAUCUGAGUGUUCAUGUUCCCAGGACGGAGGAGGGGGUGUCGGUGACGUCAGUCUCGCUGUCUGGCCCCUGCUGCCCGCUCACCCUCAGAGAAGCACCUGGAGCAGCGGGAACACAGAGUUCCUCACGGAGCCUUCACAUACCUCCUGACUCUGCAGCUGAGGUGGCCUCUCAGCAACGGCCACUGCCCACUGCCCAGCACUCACUAUCUGCACAGCACGUCUGGAAGCCCUCCCAGCCCGAGGUUCUGCCGACGUUCUGAAGCCAGGAAGACUUCUGCCGCUUCCAAGGAGGGAGCAGCCAGGGACCAGCCCAAGCCCGAGUGGAGAAGCCAUUCCAGGGCCUGGUCAGCUCUCCCCACCUCAGAGAAGCCAUGGGAGCCUGCCCCAUCCAGGGCUUCCUGCUCCUCUCUCUGCUGGGCUUCCCG